Magnolia sinica is the source of this 1270-nucleotide RNA transcript. RefSeq lists it as uncharacterized. Lineage: Eukaryota; Viridiplantae; Streptophyta; Magnoliopsida; Magnoliales; Magnoliaceae. The record is from RefSeq and is a predicted model, not a curated record. The transcript has 3 exons.
CAGAUCUGGUCCUUUUACUCACUGCAAACCGGUACAGAUCUAAACCCCUAUGUGGUUUAGGGCUUUUGCAUUCUAUUCCCUUCCCUUCCCUCUCUUUCUCCCUCCUAGGUUUAGGGCUUUUGGAUGAGAUUCGACAUAUGUUCUUCAGUGAUGGAGGCGAUUAUUAAGAUGUGGUGGGGUUGAAUUCGUAACUUGCAUUUCCUCUUCUUGUGAACUAAUUUGGUGAGACUUCUUUCCCCUUAUCAUUUUCAUUUCACUGAUGAUAGUUACAUGAAGUUAAUGUAAUCAUAUGAAAGCUUUGUAACUGAUCAAGAAAGUAAAAAAAUAAUAUGAAUUUCUAUUUUUAUUUCACUAAAGCAUUUCAUUAUUUUUAUAUGAAAAUCUGCAUGCUAAUUGUUUGAGGAAAUGCCUCAACCAAGAAUGUUCUUGUGUUAAUCAUGCUAGAGGUCCUGCAUUUCAACUCUCUGUAAAUGGGGCACAAAUCAUUGUAUGGUUGGAUGAACCCAUUGUAUCAUCCAUCUACUUGACCCUUCUUUGGCGGACCAACACAUAAAUUCACAAUGACUGGGGAAUUUUCCCCUGUUGACCAUUUUUGUUUUCAGUCAUCUGUUCGAUCAAAUGGCCAGGACGAUUAUGUCAGUUUGACUUUUGAACUAUGGUCAAAAGUCAGACUGAGGGCUAUAUAAUGGGCUAUAUAAUUUGAUUGGUCUAUUUUCACAUGAAUGUGUGCUAUGUGUAUGGUGGAUGAGACAACAUAAAGUGAAGAGUGCUGGUGAAUGGCCUGGAUCUCCAACUGAGGUUCCCAGAGCAGAUUCAGGUUCGGUAUCCAUCUCUUUGUCAACUGAAUGUGUCUCAUCUAAUGUUCUGGUACUUGUGUCUCAAUUCUGCUCUUUAACUCAUCUUAGCCAUCAGUUAGCACCACUAAUACAACUCCUUCUUCUGGCAAUGGAGCUUUGGAUCCUAUGGAUAUGUCUCCUUAUUCUACUAACCACUUAGAUGGCAUACAUGAUGACAACACUUACACAAGAUUUGCAAAUCAACAAAACCUGGAAGAAGGGCAUCACUAGAAGCCAUAAAGAUGUGGAAAGAAAAUGGUUUUACUAGCUGCAGUAAUCAGGAUGGAAGACGGAACGUCUUCUAUCGUCUUCGAUUGUUUGGAGGGAACAUUGGAUUCAUGGUCCUUCAAAUGAAAAGAUCAACUAGAGUACCUAUGCUAUGCUUGGAUGUACACAAGGAUGGUUUUGUGCUUCUCUUUUUCAUCCUUCUUCAA